RNAcentral lists this ribosomal RNA (169 nucleotides) under uncultured bacterium. Its description in RNAcentral is "partial 16S ribosomal RNA". It matches the Rfam family "Bacterial small subunit ribosomal RNA", at positions 338 to 524 of the family's 1533-position model. The record is from RNAcentral.
CCUACGGGAGGCAGCAGUGGGGAAUACUGCACAAUGGGGGAAACCCUGAUGCAGCAACGCCGCGUGAGUGAUGACGGUCUUCGGAUUGUAAAGCUCUGUCUUCAGGGACGAUAAUGACGGUACCUGAGGAGGAAGCCACGGCUAACUACGUGCCAGCAGCCGCGGUAAU